Molecule: transfer-messenger RNA, 340 nt
Filed under: bovine gut metagenome
Rfam family: transfer-messenger RNA
About the family: Bacterial tmRNA, also known as 10Sa RNA or SsrA, is named for its dual tRNA and mRNA-like properties. Its role is to liberate the mRNA from a stalled ribosome. To accomplish this part of the tmRNA is used as a reading frame that ends in a translation stop signal.
Source: RNAcentral
GGGGCUGAUUUGGUUUCGACAGGACUAUUAGAAUUUAGAUUGCAAGUCGUAGAAAUACGUAAAAUUUAAAAAUAUCUGGAAACAGAAAUGCUUUAGCUUUUGCCUAAUUUAGAAAGGUAAGCGUUCCAUUAAUUUCGUUGUUUGCGCGAUUUUCUUGGGAUUCAUUUUUGCAAACUAUAUUAUUUUAUUGUUUAGGUAAAAUAAUGAAUGUUACUAAACUAGCUACAUAUUUGUUUGUUAAUUAGCUUAUUAUGCAGUGAAAUUUAUUAAUUAACUAAGCUUGUAGUAAUCUAUCUAUCUGUAGUUUUGGACAGGAGUUCAAUUCUCCUCAGCUCCACCA